Molecule: non-coding RNA, 32 nt
Filed under: Rattus norvegicus (Norway rat)
Lineage: Eukaryota; Metazoa; Chordata; Mammalia; Rodentia; Muridae
Source: RNAcentral
UCUACAGACAGCAACCUUGCCUCUGCAGAGAC